AGAAUCAACGCUGGCGGCGUGCCUAACACAUGCAAGUCGCACGAGAAAGGGACUUCGGUCCUGAGUACAGUGGCGCACGGGUGAGUAACACGUGAAUCAUCUACCUUCGAGUGGGAAUAACUGAGAGAAAUCUUAGCUAAUACCGCAUAAUACCUACGGGUCAAAGCAGCAAUGCGCUUGAAGAGGAGUUCGCGGCAGAUUAGUUAGUUGGCGGGGUAAUGGCCCACCAAGACGAUGAUCUGUA
RNAcentral lists this ribosomal RNA (244 nucleotides) under uncultured bacterium. RNAcentral's name for it is "partial small subunit ribosomal RNA". It matches the Rfam family "Bacterial small subunit ribosomal RNA", at positions 26 to 285 of the family's 1533-position model. The record is from RNAcentral.